GAUGAACGCUGGCGGCGUGCCUAAUACAUGCAAGUCGAGCGAACGGACGAGAAGCUUGCUUCUCUGAUGUUAGCGGCGGACGGGUGAGUAACACGUGGAUAACCUACCUAUAAGACUGGGAUAACUUCGGGAAACCGGAGCUAAUACCGGAUAAUAUUUUGAACCGCAUGGUUCAAAAGUGAAAGACGGUCUUGCUGUCACUUAUAGAUGGUUCCGCGCUGCAUUAGCUAGUUGGUAAGGUAACGGCUUACCAAGGCAACGAUGCAUAGCCGACCUGAUAGGGUGAUCGGCCACACUGGAACUGAGACACGGUCCAGACUCCUACGGGAGGCAGCAGUAGGGAAUCUUCCGCAAUGGGCGAAAGCCUGACGGAGCAACGCCGCGUGAGUGAUGAAGGUCUUCGGAUCGUAAAACUCUGUUAUUAGGGAAGAACAUAUGUGUAAGUAACUGUGCACAUCUUGACGGUACCUAAUCAGAAAGCCACGGCUAACUACGUG
This 497-nucleotide ribosomal RNA is filed under the name uncultured bacterium. RNAcentral's name for it is "partial 16S ribosomal RNA". It matches the Rfam family "Bacterial small subunit ribosomal RNA", at positions 28 to 507 of the family's 1533-position model. The record is from RNAcentral.